ACGAACGCUGGCGGCGUGCUUAACACAUGCAAGUCGAACGGAAAGGCCCUGCUUUUGUGGGGUGCUCGAGUGGCGAACGGGUGAGUAACACGUGAGUAACCUGCCCUUGACUUUGGGAUAACUUCAGGAAACUGGGGCUAAUACCGGAUAGGAGCUCCUGCUGCAUGGUGGGGGUUGGAAAGUUUCGGCGGUUGGGGAUGGACUCGCGGCUUAUCAGCUUGUUGGUGGGGUAGUGGCUUACCAAGGCUUUGACGGGUAGCCGGCCUGAGAGGGUGACCGGCCACAUUGGGACUGAGAUACGGCACAGACUCCUACGGGAGGCAGCAGUGGGGAAUAUUGCACAAUGGGCGGAAGCCUGAUGCAGAAACGCCGCGUGCGGGAUGACGGCCUUCGGGUUGUAAACCGCUUUCGCCUGUGACGAAGCGUGAGUGACGGUAAUGGGUAAAGAAGCACCGGCUAACUACGUG
This 467-nucleotide ribosomal RNA is filed under the name uncultured bacterium. RNAcentral's name for it is "partial 16S ribosomal RNA". It matches the Rfam family "Bacterial small subunit ribosomal RNA", at positions 29 to 507 of the family's 1533-position model. The record is from RNAcentral.